AACGAACGCUGGCGGCGUGCCUAACACAUGCAAGUCGAGCGAGAAAGUUCCCUUCGGGGAGCGAGUAAAGCGGCGAACGGGUGAGUAACACGUAGGUAACCUACCCUCGAGUCCGGGAUAACCUGUCGAAAGAUGGGCUAAUACUGGAUGCGACUGCGGGAGCGUCAGCUCUUGCGGUGAAAGGUGGCCUCUGCUUGCAAGCUAUCACUCAUGGAUGGGCCUGCGGACCAUUAGCUAGUUGGUGAGGUAACGGCUCACCAAGGCGAAGAUGGUUAGCUGGUCUGAGAGGACGGCCAGCCACACUGGGACUGAAAC
This 315-nucleotide ribosomal RNA is filed under the name uncultured bacterium. RNAcentral's name for it is "bacterial SSU rRNA". It matches the Rfam family "Bacterial small subunit ribosomal RNA", at positions 29 to 325 of the family's 1533-position model. The record is from RNAcentral.